Molecule: ribosomal RNA, 1414 nt
Filed under: Bacillus safensis
Lineage: Bacteria; Bacillati; Bacillota; Bacilli; Caryophanales; Bacillaceae
Description: bacterial SSU rRNA
Rfam family: Bacterial small subunit ribosomal RNA
Source: RNAcentral
UCGAGCGGACAGAAGGGAGCUUGCUCCCGGAUGUUAGCGGCGGACGGGUGAGUAACACGUGGGUAACCUGCCUGUAAGACUGGGAUAACUCCGGGAAACCGGAGCUAAUACCGGAUAGUUCCUUGAACCGCAUGGUUCAAGGAUGAAAGACGGUUUCGGCUGUCACUUACAGAUGGACCCGCGGCGCAUUAGCUAGUUGGUGGGGUAAUGGCUCACCAAGGCGACGAUGCGUAGCCGACCUGAGAGGGUGAUCGGCCACACUGGGACUGAGACACGGCCCAGACUCCUACGGGAGGCAGCAGUAGGGAAUCUUCCGCAAUGGACGAAAGUCUGACGGAGCAACGCCGCGUGAGUGAUGAAGGUUUUCGGAUCGUAAAGCUCUGUUGUUAGGGAAGAACAAGUGCGAGAGUAACUGCUCGCACCUUGACGGUACCUAACCAGAAAGCCACGGCUAACUACGUGCCAGCAGCCGCGGUAAUACGUAGGUGGCAAGCGUUGUCCGGAAUUAUUGGGCGUAAAGGGCUCGCAGGCGGUUUCUUAAGUCUGAUGUGAAAGCCCCCGGCUCAACCGGGGAGGGUCAUUGGAAACUGGGAAACUUGAGUGCAGAAGAGGAGAGUGGAAUUCCACGUGUAGCGGUGAUAUGCGUAGAGAUGUGGAGGAACACCAGUGGCGAAGGCGACUCCCAGUGGCGAAGGCGACUCUCUGGUCUGUAACUGACGCUGAGGAGCGAAAGCGUGGGGAGCGAACAGGAUUAGAUACCCUGGUAGUCCACGCCGUAAACGAUGAGUGCUAAGUGUUAGGGGGUUUCCGCCCCUUAGUGCUGCAGCUAACGCAUUAAGCACUCCGCCUGGGGAGUACGGUCGCAAGACUGAAACUCAAAGGAAUUGACGGGGGCCCGCACAAGCGGUGGAGCAUGUGGUUUAAUUCGAAGCAACGCGAAGAACCUUACCAGGUCUUGACAUCCUCUGACAACCCUAGAGAUAGGGCUUUCCCUUCGGGGACAGAGUGACAGGUGGUGCAUGGUUGUCGUCAGCUCGUGUCGUGAGAUGUUGGGUUAAGUCCCGCAACGAGCGCAACCCUUGAUCUUAGUUGCCAGCAUUCAGUUGGGCACUCUAAGGUGACUGCCGGUGACAAACCGGAGGAAGGUGGGGAUGACGUCAAAUCAUCAUGCCCCUUAUGACCUGGGCUACACACGUGCUACAAUGGACAGAACAAAGGGCUGCAAGACCGCAAGGUUUAGCCAAUCCCAUAAAUCUGUUCUCAGUUCGGAUCGCAGUCUGCAACUCGACUGCGUGAAGCUGGAAUCGCUAGUAAUCGCGGAUCAGCAUGCCGCGGUGAAUACGUUCCCGGGCCUUGUACACACCGCCCGUCACACCACGAGAGUUUGCAACACCCGAAGUCGGUGAGGUAACCU